Molecule: transfer RNA, 72 nt
Filed under: Salvia splendens (bonfire salvia)
Lineage: Eukaryota; Viridiplantae; Streptophyta; Magnoliopsida; Lamiales; Lamiaceae
Rfam family: tRNA
About the family: Transfer RNA (tRNA) molecules are approximately 80 nucleotides in length. Their secondary structure includes four short double-helical elements and three loops (D, anti-codon, and T loops).
Source: Rfam by way of RNAcentral
GGGCAUUUGGUCUAGUGGUAUGAUUCUCGCUUUCUGUGUGAGAGGUCCCGAGUUUGAUUCUCGGAAUGUCCC